This 428-nucleotide ribosomal RNA is filed under the name uncultured Flavobacteriia bacterium. RNAcentral describes it as "partial 16S ribosomal RNA". It matches the Rfam family "Bacterial small subunit ribosomal RNA", at positions 432 to 869 of the family's 1533-position model. The record is from RNAcentral. Lineage: Bacteria; Pseudomonadati; Bacteroidota; Flavobacteriia.
CUUGUUAUACAGGAAGAAACACACCUACGUGUAGCUGCUUMACGGUACUGUAAGAAUAAGCACCGGCUAACUCCGUGCCAGCAGYCKMGGGUAAUACGGAGGGUGCAAGCGUUAUCCGGAAUCAUUGGAGUUUAAAGGGUCCGCAGCGGWWCAAUUAAGUCAGAGGUGAAAUCCCAUAGCUUAACUAUGGAACUGCCUUUGAUACUGGAUGACUUGAGUUAUACGGAAGUAGAUAGAAUAAGUAGUGUAGCGKUGAAAUGCAUAGAUAUUACUUAGAAUACCGAUUCCGAAKGCAGUCUACUACGUAUAUACUGACGCUCAUGGACGAAAGCGUGGGAGCGAMUAGGAYUAGAUACMSUGGUAGUCGUACGCGUUGAUGAUGGACAGUAGUGUUGUAUUCUUUAGUGCUAAUGAAAGUGAUAAUGCCC